This 483-nucleotide ribosomal RNA is filed under the name uncultured Escherichia sp. RNAcentral's name for it is "bacterial SSU rRNA". It matches the Rfam family "Bacterial small subunit ribosomal RNA", at positions 27 to 499 of the family's 1533-position model. The record is from RNAcentral. Lineage: Bacteria; Pseudomonadati; Pseudomonadota; Gammaproteobacteria; Enterobacterales; Enterobacteriaceae.
GAUUGAACGCUGGCGGCAGGCCUAACACAUGCAAGUCGAACGGUAACAGGAAGAAGCUUGCUUCUUCGCUGACGAGUGGCGGACGGGUGAGUAAUGUCUGGGAAACUGCCUGAUGGAGGGGGAUAACUACUGGAAGCGGUAGCUAAUACCGCAUAACGUCGCAAGACCAAAGAGGGGGACCUUCGGGCCUCUUGCCAUCGGAUGUGCCCAGAUGGGAUUAGCUAGUAGGUGGGGUAACGGCUCACCUAGGCGACGAUCCCUAGCUGGUCUGAGAGGAUGACCAGCCACACUGGAACUGAGACACGGUCCAGACUCCUACGGGAGGCAGCAGUGGGGAAUAUUGCACAAUGGGCGCAAGCCUGAUGCAGCCAUGCCGCGUGUAUGAAGAAGGCCUUCGGGUUGUAAAGUACUUUCAGCGGGGAGGAAGGGAGUAAAGUUAAUACCUUUGCUCAUUGACGUUACCCGCAGAAGAAGCACCGGCUA